This 246-nucleotide unclassified non-coding RNA is filed under the name uncultured Sordariales. Its description in RNAcentral is "sequence contains ITS2". The stretch from base 1 to 52 matches the Rfam family "5.8S ribosomal RNA", at positions 103 to 154 of the family's 154-position model. Lineage: Eukaryota; Fungi; Ascomycota; Sordariomycetes; Sordariales. The record is from RNAcentral.
AACGCACAUUGCGCCCGCGAGUAUUCUCGCGGGCAUGCCUGUUCGAGCGUCAUUUCAACCAUCAAGCCCCCGGGCUUGCGUUGGGGCCCUGCGGCUGCCGCAGACCCCUAAAACCAGUGGCGGGCUCGCUGUCACACCGAGCGCAGUAGCAAUAUCUCGCUCUGGGCGUGGCGCGGGUGCUUGCCGUAAAACACACCACUUAACAAGGUUGACCUCGGAUCAGGUAGGAAUACCCGCUGAACUUAA